CCCGCUCCGGCCGCGGGGAGCUGGGGGCCUGCCGGGGAGGGAAGAACGGCGGCAGCCCUUUCCCCGUUCCUCCCGUGCUCCGGGACCCCGAGCAGAGCUGCUCGUUUGUCCCCGUGUCCCUGUGUCUGUCCUCAGGCGGCCCCAGGAGCUGGCACUGACCGUGCCGCGGGUCGGGCACAGGCUGCUCCCAGCUCUGCCUGCGGAACUUCGGCAAUUACCGACAGCAGUUCUUUGCCCUGCCAUCCAGAAGGUGCGGCUCAUCUGACACCAGCCAGACGGGGAAGGCCCUGCCUGGGAGGGAAACGGCUACAGGGGAGGAAACCAAGAAAUGCUCCAACCGGAUGGUGCUGCGCGAGUCAAAAGAGGGGCAAGACCGCGGGCAAAUACAGUCAGGAAAUGAGCUUUUAUUCAAUCUCUGCAGGAGCCCUUCGCAGCCACGGGCCGGAGGGAGCGCGGCCGGCUGGGCUGUGCCCGGCUGGGGACGGGCACCAAUUCAUCGCUGCCCUGCUCAGGGAGGUUUUCCGGCCCCGUCCGGGCUUCACCCAACGGCUGCAAAGGUGCUCGUGCGGCAUCCGAGCUCAUUUCCAGGGAUAAAGGAGCCAAACGAGUCCGGAGGGAUCCCUCGCUCCGAGGCAAAGGCGUUUGGUCGAGUGUCGCCGCCUGGUCCCGCCUGCGGGGGAGCGUCUCCUCCAGGUGAGCCUUCGGAACCCAAAAUGCCGGGGGGGCUCAGGUCGGGGCCGCUUUUCGGGCCCGGAGUUGGACGGAGCCCUCGGCGGCUCCCGCUUCCCGCCAGGAACGUUCUCGGGGCUCCCUGGGCAGUCCCAGCUGGGCAGGGAACGCGGGCCGGGAGGAGGCCGGAGCGACAGACAGCGACCCAGCCCUGCUUGGGCUUCCUAUUGCCAGGGGAUGGAUGAGCUGUGCCCUGGAGCUGUGCCCUACAGCCCCCGUGGGGUGGGCACGGGGAAAGGGCUGCCCGCGGCUCCUCAGCCGGGCGCUGCUCUGGACGGGCCCCCUGAGAUGCCUCACCCUGGACACGCCCCAGCGCCAGCCCCAAAGGACCCAAAGAAUCCAGCUGGCACUCGGCAGUGUCGGCACGGCGGGGCUGCAGAGCAGCGCGGGCAGCCAUUCCCAGGGCCCACCUCCCAGAGCUCCCCCGCGCCCCCCACGGGUGUCCCGCCCGCCCCAAAUCCCUGCCCUUCCAGCCGGAGGCCAGCAGCCAGCAGCAGCCUUAAAGCCAGGGCCAUGUGCCCUCAGCGGCACUAAAUCCCGAGCAAGAGCCCUCGGAGAUGCCUGAAAAGAAAAGAGGGUGCUUGGAGAAAGUUGGGCUUGGAUGCAAUUCGCAGUUUUUCGGGGACCCAACCGCACCUGCAGAACCCGUGGACAGCUUGAACAGGUGGGUCAGAGCCGAGGUGCCCUGAAGGCAGGGCUGUGCAUCCCUUUCCUCGGGAAAAGAACUCCCCGGGGCCGCUCCCGAGGCUCGGAAGGGACAGCGGCUUCCCGCCCGGACAGACGUCCUCGCCCGUGCUCAGGGGCUGCCUCGCCCCGGGCCGGGAGCGCGUCCGGCCCCCGCCUUCUCCUGGGCGAACACAUCCCCUGGAGCCCGGCCCGGGGCGGAAAACCGGCCCAAUUCCAGGGAGCUCGCUCAAGUCCCCCCAGGGACACCAGCGGGGCUGGGGGAGGAGGGUUAUAAACAGCAAAGUCUGUGGAAUAUCAACCUGUCCUUGUCCCGAUCCCGCUGAGCAAACCUGGAACCGUGGCUGCUUCCUGGCAAACCUGGCGUUAGAGCGGCAGCUCUGCGGGGGAACAGCCGGGCUCCAGGAGGCACUGGGAGGCUGUUCCAGCAGGAAUUCGGCAUGGAAUUGCGGGCUGUGAAUUGUGCACAAGCCAGUCCCCCAUUCCCUAUCCAGGCUGGGAGUGCUCGUGCCCUUGGCACAGAUGGCUCUGGCUGGGCAGGAACU
Molecule: long non-coding RNA, 1958 nt
Organism: Pseudopipra pipra
Lineage: Eukaryota; Metazoa; Chordata; Aves; Passeriformes; Pipridae
Exons: 3
Source: RefSeq, a predicted model, not a curated record